RNAcentral lists this ribosomal RNA (479 nucleotides) under uncultured bacterium. RNAcentral describes it as "partial 16S ribosomal RNA". It matches the Rfam family "Bacterial small subunit ribosomal RNA", at positions 28 to 507 of the family's 1533-position model. The record is from RNAcentral.
GAUGAACGCUGGCGGCGUGCUUAACACAUGCAAGUCGAACGAAGCACUUAAGAUUGAUUCUUCGGAUGACGUCUUUUGUGACUUAGUGGCGGACGGGUGAGUAACGCGUGGGUAACCUGCCUCACACAGGGGGAUAACAGUUAGAAAUGACUGCUAAUACCGCAUAACCCGAUAGGAUCGCAUGAUCCAGACGGAAAAGAUUUAUCGGUGUGAGAUGGACCCGCGUCUGAUUAGCUAGUUGGUGAGGUAACGGCCCACCAAGGCGACGAUCAGUAGCCGGCCUGAGAGGGUGAACGGCCACAUUGGGACUGAGACACGGCCCAAACUCCUACGGGAGGCAGCAGUGGGGAAUAUUGCACAAUGGUGGAAACCCUGAUGCAGCGACGCCGCGUGAGUGAAGAAGUAUUUCGGUAUGUAAAGCUCUAUCAGCAGGGAAGAAAAUGACGGUACCUGACUAAGAAGCCCCGGCUAACUACGUG